Molecule: ribosomal RNA, 652 nt
Filed under: uncultured Bacteroides sp.
Lineage: Bacteria; Pseudomonadati; Bacteroidota; Bacteroidia; Bacteroidales; Bacteroidaceae
Description: bacterial SSU rRNA
Rfam family: Bacterial small subunit ribosomal RNA
Source: RNAcentral
GGUCUUAGCUUGCUAAGGCUGAUGGCGACCGGCGCACGGGUGAGUAACACGUAUCCCACUUGAGGUCUACUCUUGGCCAGCCUUCUGAAAGGAAGAUUCAUUCAGGAUGGGAUCAUGAGUUCACAUGUCCGCAUGAUUAAAGGUAUUUUCCGGUAGACGAUGGGGAUGCGUUCCAUUAGAUAGUAGGCGGGGUAACGGCCCACCUAGUCAACGAUGGAUAGGGGUUCUGAGAGGAAGGUCCCCCACAUUGGAACUGAGACACGGUCCAAACUCCUACGGGAGGCAGCAGUGAGGAAUAUUGGUCAAUGGGCGAUGGCCUGAACCAGCCAAGUAGCGUGAAGGAUGACUGCCCUAUGGGUUGUAAACUUCUUUUAUAAAGGAAUAAAGUCGGGUAUGCAUACCCGUUUGCAUGUACUUUAUGAAUAAGGAUCGGCUAACUCCGUGCCAGCAGCCGCGGUAAUACGGAGGAUCCGAGCGUUAUCCGGAUUUAUUGGGUUUAAAGGGAGCGUAGAUGGAUGUUUAAGUCAGUUGUGAAAGUUUGCGGCUCAACCGUAAAAUUGCAGUUGAUACUGGAUGUCUUGAGUGCAGUUGAGGCAGGCGGAAUUCGUGGUGUAGCGGUGAAAUGCUUAGAUAUCACGAAGAACUCCGAUUG